RNAcentral lists this ribosomal RNA (301 nucleotides) under uncultured bacterium. RNAcentral's name for it is "partial 16S ribosomal RNA". It matches the Rfam family "Bacterial small subunit ribosomal RNA", at positions 509 to 807 of the family's 1533-position model. The record is from RNAcentral.
CAGCAGCCGCGGUAAUACGGAGGGAGCUAGCGUUGUUCGGAAUCACUGGGCGUAAAGCGCACGUAGGCGGCUAUUCAAGUCAUGGGUGAAAGCCCGGGGCUCAACCCCGGAACUGCCUUUGAAACUAGAUAGCUUGAAUCUUGGAGAGGCGAGUGGAAUUCCGAGUGUAGAGGUGAAAUUCGUAGAUAUUCGGAAGAACACCAGUGGCGAAGGCGACUCGCUGGACAAGUAUUGACGCUGAGGUGCGAAAGCGUGGGGAGCAAACUGGAUUAGAUACCCCCGUAGUCCCUGUCUCUUAUAC